Molecule: ribosomal RNA, 256 nt
Filed under: uncultured bacterium
Lineage: Bacteria
Description: partial 16S ribosomal RNA
Rfam family: Bacterial small subunit ribosomal RNA
Source: RNAcentral
AGGGAAGNGAACCCGCAGGGGGAGCAAAUCCAGAAAUAACGUCCCAGUUCGGAUUGUAGUCUGCAACCCGGCUACAUGAAGCUGGAAUCGCUAGUAAUCGCGGAUCAGAAUGCCGCGGUGAAUACGUUCCCGGGUCUUGUACACACCGCCCGUCACACCAUGGGAGUCGGAAAUGCCCGAAGUCUGUGACCCAACCUCAGGGAGGGAGCAGCCGAAGGCAGGUCGGAUGACUGGGGUGAAGUCGUAACAAGGUAGC